ACUGUCGCGAAGCUCCCGCCCAAGCCGACCACGUGCCGCGAGCCCGGCGGGGAGAGCCCACUCCCGCGCCCCUUCCGGGCCCACUACCCCGCCAGGCUGUGGCCCAUCGCCCCAGUGCCUGGUAGCCUAGUUUUCUCGUUUGUCGUUUGUUCACUUAUUUUUUAUUAUUAUUAUUUUGAUUCGUAAUGGGUAUGAGGUGUAAGGGGGCCUAUUACGGAUGUUAAGGGGAGAGGGCACCGCUCGGGUUUUAAUAAGCAUCUGUGGAGCUCAUUUAUAAGAUUGGCAUCCUCUGCUUCUGCAGAAAACAUGGCUACCAACAGCUUCUGAAUCCACCUGCAGAGGAGACUGACUGCUCUGUUAUUCCCCCAGCAUCUGUGAAGAGGCUCUGACUGGCUAAAAUGAAGGAGUCUGUAGCUUUAGGGGAAGACAGAGCCACAAGAUGGAAGGAGCUUGGAUGUCUGAACUAUUCCAUGGAGAAAAGCUGCAGCCAACGAAGAACACCUGCAAUGGACUCUUAACCUGGGGGUGACGACAACCACUGAAAUAUGCUGCAUCUUAGUCCAGGGAUUUUUAAAGUGUGGUUCCUGGAAGAGCUGGAUCAGAGUCAUCUGUGUUGAUGGUUUAACAUAAAGAUUUUCGGGCCCCAAGACUCAAGUAGGACAAGGAAUUUGAAUUUUUAAGCAGCUCACCUGACUUGUCUGUCCUCUAAUGUCUGAAGACAUCUGACCUCUGCUCUUUCAGUAAAAGCAACAAUGGUUUUAUGAGCAUUAUCAUCCCAUCUCUCCACUCAAGGGAUCCUUCUCAUUUCUCCCAGCUGAGGUCACCCACAGCUGCUGCUUCUAACUGCUGGCUUCCAGCCUGCUGUCUGCCAGCUGGCUCUACCCUCUCCUAUAACACAGCAGAGAGUAGCUGUGGUCUCCUGCGUGCUCACCCUCUGCUCCCUUGGUCCUGCUCCAUGCUUUGGUCCUGCACUUAAAUUUUACAAGCAUACUCUCUUUCUCUUAAGAAUGAUUUUCAUUGCCAUUUAGAGGAAAUCUUGGGAUCAACUUGCGAAAAGACGGAGGCUCCUGGCUCUGAUCUUUGGGGACUUCAGAUUUUCUGGAUCGAGCCAACAGCUAACACUGGGAGGUAGCACCAAUCACUAAGAAGCACAAGCCACCAGACAUUUAGAUGAGGCCACCUGAGAUCAUCCAGGCAGCAGCUGACCCGGCAGAAACCACAGGUACGUGAAAGAGGCCAGCAGAGGGAAGACAAGCUGGGCCAGAACAGAAGAAUUGUCCAGCUGAACAACAGAAUUGUGAACUAAAUUAAAUUUUGGGGGGAUGGUUGGCUGUGUGGCAAAGGUUAAUUAAUGUGGGAAGGGAUAGGUAAACUAGAAACCAAAGUUGAGAAUAAGGUUGAAUAAACGAAAGUUUAGUUGCAAGGGAGUGGUGACAAAGAAGAGCCCUUAAAGGCAAAAUCAUAGACAACGUUUUUUGGAGAGAUCAUUUGCACAAGUACAGUAGAGGCCCCUCCUUCCUCCUCCAUCUUCAUGCCCUGACUCUGUGGACGUUCAGUGUCACAAGAAAUGCUCCAAUAAUCCAUUUCAUGGAAUGAUAUAAUGUCAUAAGAAGGAGCGUAAAAAUUCCCUGUUCUGAUUUUCCUAUUUAAUGGGAAGCUCAAAAAGACAAAAUGGCUUGCCCAUUUCAUCCUGAAAGUUUAGCUUAUACAGUGAUAUGCCACAUAAUGAUAUUUUUGGGUCUACAGUGGACCUCAUAUAUGACAGGUGGUCCCAUAAGAUUGUAAUGGAGCUGAAAAAUUCCUAUUGCCUUUUGACCUCAUAGCCAUCAUAAUGUUGUAGCACAAUGCAUUACAUUUGUGGUGAUGCUGAUAGAAACAAACCAACUGUGCUGCCAGGUAUAUCAAAGUAUAGAACAUGCAAUUAUGUACAGUAUAUAAUACUUGACAAUGAUAAUAAAUGACUAUGUUGCUGGUUUGUGUAUUUACUUUUUAUCAUUAUUUUAGAGUGUUCUCCUUCUACUUAUUAAAAAAAAAUAACUGGAAAACAGCCUUAGGCAGGUCCUUCAGGAGUAUUCCAGAAGAAAGCAUUGUUAUCAUAAGAGAUGACAGCUCCAUGCCUGUUAUUGCCCCUGAAGACCUUCCCGUGGAACAAGAUCUGGAGGUGGAAGACAGUGAUAUUGAUGAUCCUUAUUCUGUGUAGGCCUAGGCUAAUGUAUAUAUUUAUGUCUUAGUUUUUAACAAAAGAAGCUUAAAAAGUGAAAGAAUGAGAAAAUUUAGAAGUAGAAAAAAGCUUAUAGAAUAAGGAUAUAAAGAAAGAAAAUAUUUUUGUACAGCUGUACAAUGUGUUGUUUGUGUUUUAAGGUGGGUGUUAUUACAAAAGAGUCAAAAAGAAAAAAUUAAAAAUUUUAUAAAAAAUUACACUAAGCUAAUGUUACUUUAUUAUUGAAGAAAGAAAAAUAUUCUUUUAUAAGUUUAGUGUAGCCUAAGUGUACAGUGUUUAUAUAUAAAAUCUACAGUAGUGUAGAGCAAUGUCCUAGGCCUUCACAUUUACUCGCCACUUACUCACGGACGCCUACAGCAAUUUCCAGUUCCGCAAGUUCUAUUCAUGAUAAGUGCCCUAACUAUACAGGUGUAGCAUUUAACAAUUUUUUAUACCAUAUUUGCACUGCUCCUUUUCUAUGUUUAGAUGUGUUUAGAUAGACAGAUCUUUAUCAUUGUGUUACAAUUGCCUGCAGAAUUCAAUAUAGUAACAUGCUGUACAGGCUUGUAACCUAGGAGUGAUAGGCUAUACCAUAUAGCCUAGGUAUCUAGCAGGCUAUACCAUCCAGGUUUGUGUAAGUACACUCUUAUAUUGUUCACACAAUUACAAAAUUACCUAAUGAUGCAUUUCUUAGAACGUAUCCCUGUCAUUAAGUGAUGCAUGACUUUAUUUGCUUUAUUUGUAAUGAAAUGAAUAUGUUUCCUGGCUUUUUUUUUUUUUUUGAGAACACUCUUAACACCUAUCUUGCAGGAGAAUAUUGUGUUUGUUUUUCUUUUCAUUCCUAUGUCUCCUGUUAUAGUCUCAGGAUGGGUGAAGUUUUAGUGAGAAGCUCAGUGGCAAGUAGACAAUAUGACUCUUCCAUGGUCAGUAUACCCACAGAAACACUUUUUCCUCAAUCUCAGGAGAAAAAUGAGCCAAAUAUGGAGGAUCCCAUCAGCUGCAGCAAAGCUACUGGCCAUGAAGGGAAGUGAGAGAAGCAAAGAGAAGAGUGAAGCAGAAUGGGAAGGAAAAUGAUGAUUCUAUGGGCACCAAUCAUGUGAGUCUUCUUGAGGCUUUACCAAGGAAACAGGCAGUUUUAGAGUUGGCCUUAAGGAUGUUCUCUGGUGUCAUCAAAGAAAUGGAAAUGCAAAGCAGAGACAUGUGCAUUUAGAUAUGUGUAAGACUGUACACUAUUUUUAGUGGAAAAUGGCUGCUGAGUGUGUGGAAAGAGUAUAAAAGAUUUCAGUGGGAAGAUUCUACAAUCAUUUGAGAUUCUCCAUUGCUGGAAAAUUCUCAAAUUAGGCUUAUGAAGGCAAUUUGAUUUAGCAAACAGCUCUCUGGACCAAGCAAAUCUUCUCAGCAGGGAUGGAAUUUGAACUGCACUUGUCCCUGGUUCUCACCUUCCCUGAGAAGCAGCGCAUCUGCAGUGUCCCAGGUGAUGCCCCCCACAGGCCUUGAAGCUUGUCUUCCAGAAGAGCCUUCGUUUCAGGGGCAGCAUUCCAGGAAGCACGCCCAUGAAACACUCAUGAGGAGGAACUGGGCUGCCAAUUAUGACUUGUCACUGCUCCAUCAACAUAAAAGCUCGGCAGCACUCAGAUGGCUCUUGAAACUCUUUGAGAUAUAAUCUGAAAGGAGGUCCCAGUUUCUGCCCCGGGCUGUUUGCAUCAUCAACCUGCAAAAUUCCAAUCUUGGAACUUGCUGAGAUUUUCAUUCUGAGACUCUCUGCCCUUGGCCUUGAGGAUAGCCAGAAGAAUACUAUAUUUCUUCUGCCUCUCUUUCUCUUUCUAUCUAAAGAGGUCAGGAUUAUAUUUCCACUUUGCUGAAUAUAGAAUCAAACCCAAUUGCCAUCAGCAAGUGCUGUAUAUCACCUACCACACCUGGGACCAGGCAUCAACAAGACCUUGACAGGGCCAGAAACCUCAAGCCCUCAUUGCCAAGCCCAUUAAAAUCAGGAACUCAAGCUCAUUAAGGAAGGAGUGCAAUGGAUAUAGCCAGACAGGAGGAUUUCCACUUCAGUAUUAUCCUGAAUAGUGAACAACCAUCUCUGCUUUUCUCAGGGAGAAAGAUGUGGUAACAGUCACAAUGAUAGUAGACGAUGGUGACUGUUUAAUUUGUCAUGGCUAACAUAUAUGGUUAGCAAAUUGAGUUUCCUUUUAGGUAUAGUCUGAAUUGAACUGAAGUUCAUUAUAAUUUCCCUAAGUUGAUCUGUGAGGGCAUUUUAGCCUUCUUGGUAAAAUUAAAUAAUAUCAGUCAAAAAGGCUGUUAAACCAAUUCUUACACUUGAAAGCUUCCAGUUAUUCUAAUAAUUUGGAAUCUGUGUCUCCCCCUCUGUGGCAAUGAGGCUGUUGCUUGCUUUUCCCAAGAGACUGUAUUGCAUCUUUCUUGUUUUCUGAGAUGAGAAACAACCUCAAGGUCAUGCCCAGUGAUAUGGUUUGGCUCUGUGCCCCCACCCAAAUCUCAUCCCGAAUUGUAAUCCCCACAUGUCGGAGGAGGGGCUUGGUGGGAGGUGACUGGAUUAUGGGGGUGUAUUUCCCCCUUGUUUUCAUGACAGUGAGUUCUCAUGAGAUUUGAUGGUUUAAAACUGUGUGGCACCACCCCCUGCAAGCUCCCUCUCUCUCCUGCCACCACGUAAGACGUGCCUUGCUUCUUCUUUGCCUUCUGCCAUGAUUGUAAGUUUUCUGAGGCUUCCCCAGCCAUGCAGAACUGUGUGUCAAUUAAACCUUUUUUCUUUAUAAAUUACUCAGUCUCAGGUAUGUCUUUAUAGCACUGUGAAAACGGA
This is a long non-coding RNA of Gorilla gorilla gorilla (western lowland gorilla), 5018 nucleotides long. RefSeq lists it as uncharacterized. The record is from RefSeq and is a predicted model, not a curated record. The transcript is spliced from 9 exons. NCBI's taxonomy places the organism in Eukaryota, Metazoa, Chordata, Mammalia, Primates, Hominidae.